RNAcentral lists this small RNA (247 nucleotides) under Desulforamulus ferrireducens. RNAcentral describes it as "Desulfotomaculum ferrireducens c-di-AMP sequence". It matches the Rfam family "c-di-AMP riboswitch aptamer (ydaO/yuaA leader)". Rfam says of the family: This family represents a conserved RNA structure found upstream of the ydaO and yuaA genes in Bacillus subtilis and related genes in other bacteria. The ydaO/yuaA element is thought to act as a genetic "off" switch for the ydaO and yuaA genes in its native state. The record is from Rfam by way of RNAcentral. Lineage: Bacteria; Bacillati; Bacillota; Clostridia; Eubacteriales; Peptococcaceae.
AGCCAAAAAAUGCCGAAUCUCUACUUGGGUACGGAGGAACCGAUUUUGGGGGUGAAUCCCCUUUUUUACGAGCGAGGGUGUCGCUUUUCAUUUUUAUUCCGAGAUUACUUGGAUAUCCAAGUAAUCUGUGACAACCCCUUGGUUUUCGGUGUUUAAAUUAUAGAACACUGAUUUUCGUGUGGAAGGGGUAGGGAAUUCCUUGCCCGAACCCGACAGCUAACUCCGGAGGCAAAAAAGGAAAGGAGAA